AUACGGAGGGUGCAAGCGUUAAUCGGAAUUACUGGGCGUAAAGCGCGCGUAGGCGGUUUGGUCAGUCGGAUGUGAAAGCCCUGGGCGCAACCCAGGAAUUGCAUUCGAUACUGCCUGACUAGAGUAUGGUAGAGGGAAGUGGAAUUUCCGGUGUAGCGGUGAAAUGCGUAGAUAUCGGAAGGAACACCAGUGGCGAAGGCGACUUCCUGGGCCAAUACUGACGCUGAGGUGCGAAAGCGUGGGGAGCAAACAGGAUUAGAUACCCCGGUAGUCC
Molecule: ribosomal RNA, 274 nt
Filed under: uncultured bacterium
Lineage: Bacteria
Description: partial 16S ribosomal RNA
Rfam family: Bacterial small subunit ribosomal RNA
Source: RNAcentral